This 254-nucleotide ribosomal RNA is filed under the name uncultured prokaryote. RNAcentral describes it as "partial 16S ribosomal RNA". It matches the Rfam family "Bacterial small subunit ribosomal RNA", at positions 524 to 776 of the family's 1533-position model. The record is from RNAcentral.
UACGGGGGGAGCAAGCGUUGUUCGGAUUUACUGGGCGUAAAGGGCGCGUAGGCGGUCAGCACAAGUCAGUUGUGAAAUCUCCGGGCUUAACUCGGAAAGGUCAACUGAUACUGUGCGACUAGAGUGCGGAAGGGGCAACUGGAAUUCUCGGUGUAGCGGUGAAAUGCGUAGAUAUCAGGAGGAACACCGAUUGCGAAGGCAGCUCGCUGGGACGUUACUGACGCUGAGACGCGAAAGCGUGGGGAGCAAACAGG